This is a long non-coding RNA of Doryrhamphus excisus (bluestripe pipefish), 732 nucleotides long. RefSeq lists it as uncharacterized. NCBI's taxonomy places the organism in Eukaryota, Metazoa, Chordata, Actinopteri, Syngnathiformes, Syngnathidae. The record is from RefSeq and is a predicted model, not a curated record.
UGGGAUCAUUCUGUCACGUUUGGGCAUGGUCGUGUGGGGUAUCGACCCCAGGAUCCAGCAAUGAGGACCCAAUUGCAGGGAUCCAGUCCUGUGCAGGCUCAGGUAGGCUCGGUCCCUUUCCAGCCCCCCACCCAGCUCUCUGCGCAGGGCGGUGCGGCCCAGAUGACCGGCGUACUGACGCAGGAAAGAGGGAGCGCUGUGGGACGCAGGAGGAUGCAUGUUGCACACCACCAUCGGUUCUGAGGCACACGGUUGCAGGAGGAGCAGCGAGGACAGUUAAGAAAAGGAAAGAAGAGAAAACAAGGUAAGGUGGCUCAUCCAAAGCCAUCUGCUCCGCCAGUUCAGACAGGGAAUCAUCAACGGGCCGAGCGCUGCGUAACGACAUGGACAGCCUCCGUUUGAUUAUCUUCAUGCGGUCCAUCUUCUCAGACACGACACCAGGACCCAGAGGCCUGAAAGAGGGGAGACGGUCAUCAGCAUUAUUCGCAUCUUCAUAUUCAGUCAUAUCCGAACGCCGCCAUUCGUCUGCAUUGUGGAGCGAAUGUACUGCAGUGCAGCCUCUGCGCAUUUUCGACAGUCCUUUUGGGCUGCAAAUGAUUGUGUUUGCUCGUUCGGCAUGCGUUCUCAUUGUUAUGUAUCCCAUGUGCAAACCUUGCAGAAUGAAAGCCAAGAGAGGAAAGCCCCAACAAAAUAAAAGACAGCAGUCAUCCAAAUGAGCCAAAUGACUGACAC